GGAGUUAGCCGGUGCUUCUUCUGUGAGUGAUGUCCUUCAUGCCGGCUAUUAACCCGCAGGCCUUCUUCCUCACUGAAAGUGCUUUACAACCCGAAGGCCUUCUUCACACACGCGGCAUGGCUGGAUCAGGGUUGCCCCCAUUGUCCAAUAUUCCCCACUGCUGCCUCCCGUAGGAGUCUGGGCCGUGUCUCAGUCCCAGUGUGGCUGAUCAUCCUCUCAGACCAGCUACGGAUCGUCGCCUUGGUGAGCCGUUACCUCACCAACCAGCUAAUCCGACAUAGGCUCAUCCGAUAGCGCGAGGCCCGAAGGUCCCCCGCUUUCCCCCGUAGGGCGUAUGCGGUAUUAGCCUGGGUUUCCCCAGGUUAUCCCCCACUACCGGGCAGAUUCCUAUGCAUUACUCACCCGUCCGCCGCUCGCCACCAGGGAGCAAGCUCCCCGUGCUGCCGCUCGACUUGCAUGUGUUAGGCCUGCCGCCAGCGUUCAAUCUGAGCCAGAAUCGAACCCUGA
RNAcentral lists this ribosomal RNA (507 nucleotides) under uncultured bacterium. RNAcentral's name for it is "partial 16S ribosomal RNA". The record is from RNAcentral.